GACGAACGCUGGCGGCGUGCUUAACACAUGCAAGUCGAACGAAGUGGCGAACGGGUGAGUAACGCGUAAUCAACCUGCCCUUCAGAGGGGGACAACAGUUGGAAACGACUGCUAAUACCGCAUAAUGAAGGAGGGGAGUGAGUCUGAUUGGCUAGUUGGAGGGGGAACGGCCCACCAAGGCGAUGAUCAGUAGCCGGGCUGAGAGGAUGAACGGCAACAUUGGGACUGGGACACGGGCCAGACGCCUACGGGAGGGAGCAGUGGGGGAUCUUCCGAAAUGGACGAAAGGCUGACGGAGCAACGCCGCGUGAGUGAUGACGGCCUUCGGGUUGUAAAGCUCUGUUAAUCGGGACGCGGUACCGGAAUAGAAAGCCACGGCUAACUACGUGCCAGCCGCCGCGGUAAUUC
This 408-nucleotide ribosomal RNA is filed under the name uncultured bacterium. RNAcentral describes it as "partial 16S ribosomal RNA". It matches the Rfam family "Bacterial small subunit ribosomal RNA", at positions 28 to 526 of the family's 1533-position model. The record is from RNAcentral.